AGCUCCGCGCCUCGCGGACCCAGCAAGCUCGCGCUCAGACGCCCCAGCUCCGCCGAGAGGACGCUCGCCCCGGGUGCUUCUUUUUCCCCAAGUGCAGGCAGAGCCCCUGGAGCCAUGGCCAGCCCUUCCGGCAGCUCCGAAGCCACUGGCAAGCCCCGAGGCAGGGAUGGCCGGCCCAGGAGGGAGGAGGACGACGUCCCUCCUGAAGAGAAGAGGCUGCGGCUGUUGCUGGAGGGGGGAAGAGCACAGCCCGAGGACUGCGAGGACGGGGAGGACGCGCUGCGGCCGGGCAAGGAGGACACCGGCACCCAGACAGGUGGCGACGGCAGAGGAGCGGAAUUCUCCACGAGUUUUGAGCAGCCUCGGGUUUCCCACCACCUCCAAAUCAUGGAAGACACAGGGUAAGAGCAAAGACAAGGUGGCUGUGGCCGAUGUCCACCCUCUCGUGGCGUCCCUUCUCUUCUCUCCUCCUUGGGCAGGGAGA
RNAcentral lists this long non-coding RNA (484 nucleotides) under Homo sapiens (human). Its description in RNAcentral is "HSALNT0345321". The record is from RNAcentral. Lineage: Eukaryota; Metazoa; Chordata; Mammalia; Primates; Hominidae.